UUAGGAUUUGAUUAGGAUUUGAUUAGGAUUUAAUUAAGAUUUAAGAUAAGAUUAGAAUUUAAAAUUUGAUUUAGGAUUUAGGUUUUAGGAUUUGCUUAGAGUUUAUGAUUUAUGGUUUAUAAUUUAAGAUUUAUUUAGCAUUUAGAAUUUGGUCUAAGAUUUGAUUAAAAUCUAUUAGAAUUUCAACUAGAAUUAAAUUAGGACUUAGUUGAGAUUUAUUUAAGAUAUAUGUGUGAUCAUUGUAAUAUUUCUUUGGAAUUUCUUAAAGAUUUUUUAAUGGUUUAUUGUCAAUUUUUUUCAAACACCUUUAAGAUUUCUUAUUAUUUUUUUUGUAAUUUCUUUAAGAUUUAUUUUAAAUUUAAUUAAAACUUACUUAGUAUUAUUAAGGUUUAAUUA
RNAcentral lists this long non-coding RNA (396 nucleotides) under Physcomitrium patens. RNAcentral describes it as "long non-coding RNA (PPAT_LNC004652)". Lineage: Eukaryota; Viridiplantae; Streptophyta; Bryopsida; Funariales; Funariaceae. The record is from RNAcentral.